CCUACGGGUGGCAGCAGUAGGGAAUAUUGCUCAAUGGGGGAAACCCUGAAGCAGCAACGCCGCGUGGAGGAUGAAGGUUCUCGGAUUGUAAACCCCCUUUGUUAGAGAAGAUAAUGACGGUAUCUAACGAAUAAGCACCGGCUCACUCCGUGCCAGCAGCGGCGGUAAUAUGGAGGGUGCAAGCGUUACUCGGAAUCAUUAGGCGUAAAGAGCGCGUAGGCGGGAUAGCAAGUCAGAUGUGAAAUCCUAAGGCUUAACCAUAGAACUGCAGUUGAAACUGUUAUUCUAGCGUAUGGGAGAGGUAGGUGGAAUGCUUGGUGUAGGGGUAAAAUGCGUAGAGAUCAAGAGGAAUACUCAUUGCGAAGGCGGCCUGCUAGAACAUAACUGACGCUGAUGCACGAAAGCGUGGGGAGCAAACAGGAUUAGAUACCCUAGUAGUC
Molecule: ribosomal RNA, 440 nt
Filed under: uncultured bacterium
Lineage: Bacteria
Description: partial 16S ribosomal RNA
Rfam family: Bacterial small subunit ribosomal RNA
Source: RNAcentral